Molecule: long non-coding RNA, 287 nt
Filed under: Olea europaea (common olive)
Lineage: Eukaryota; Viridiplantae; Streptophyta; Magnoliopsida; Lamiales; Oleaceae
Description: long non-coding RNA (OEUR_LNC004169)
Source: RNAcentral
UUUCCAAUCAAAUUUAACUAAAAUUUUGUCUGGAUUUUGUUCACUGGUGCGCUUCAAAUCAAAUAUGACUACAAUUUCAUCUGAUUUUUUUAAACGGCGCAUUUUCAAUCAAAUUUUAGUACAUUUCAUCUGGAUUUUGUUCAUUCCUGAGCUUCCAAUAAAAUUUGACUAAAAUUUUACGUGGGUUUAGUUCAUCGGUGUGUUUUCAAUUAAAUUUAACUAAAAUUUCACCGGAAUUUUGAUCAUUGGCCUAUUUCUGAUCAAAUUUGACUAAAAUUUCAACUGAG